UAUUUUAAUAAUCAUAAUAACUAAUUAUGGCAUCUUAUGAUAUCUCUAAGAUAUGGAAGCAGAAUCAUACAAUAUGAUUAUAACUAAACAUCUCAAGCAUAUCAUAUAUGCAUGAAGUUCUAAUAUCAUGCAUGGAUGUAAAACACUCUUUUCACAGUUCUUCUUGGAACAUCAUAGUGGCACCCCUACACGCCAUAAGAGUCCCCUAUUGAAUAGGAAGAGAGGGUCUCUAAACCCUACUUGCUCUUAU
RNAcentral lists this long non-coding RNA (250 nucleotides) under Elaeis guineensis (African oil palm). RNAcentral describes it as "long non-coding RNA (EGUI_LNC040578)". The record is from RNAcentral. Lineage: Eukaryota; Viridiplantae; Streptophyta; Magnoliopsida; Arecales; Arecaceae.